UGUAGCCCCUCUUAUGGUGCUACAUAAGUGUAGAAAGAAGUUAAAAGAGAUUAGUCUCUAUUAAUUUUGUAUUGUAGUGGUUAUACCCAUAUUUAUGUAGCUACAGAACAUACAGAGUGAGAGAGGAGAGAGUGAGAUGACUUGCAUGACCUUUUGUACAUACUGAGAGAGAGUGAGCGAAAGAGAGAACCAAUGGUCAGUUCUUGGUAGCUUGAGUAAGGGUCAGCUGGUCCUUAUUCCCAGAAAAUAAUGACGUGAAUGUCAUGAAUGACGUAGAAGUAUUUUGGGGAAAAGUUGAUGGACUCUUCCAUCUCUGCUACCCUAAAGGGGUCAGCAAUUAUUAGUUACUGGUUUUUGUUUGUUAAAAGAGAUGACCAAGGAUCAACAAGUAUUUCUAGUUACACAUUUACACACCCCUUCCCAAAAAUAAUGGUAUUGUCGAAAAUACCUUUAUAUAGAACUACUGGAGGCAUCCUCUUCACAACUUUUGAGAUGGAGAGAGAGCAUCUUCCUCCAGACACCACUUUUCAAUAAUUUCCGUAUUUUCCUGAUUCUCAGGUCACUGGUCGUCUGACCAUGAACAGCUUCUACAUUUUACUAUAUCUGCACUGAGACCCUCAAUGUCAUUAUGUUAGUCUUAAUCUAUCAGUAGUUGUUUGACAACUGUUCUAAAGUUAUGUCCGGUAAAUUAAGUUAUGAAGUAUAAUUUGAACUAUAUGUUCAUACUUGUUCAAGUAAUUAUGUAACUAGGAGUUACAACAUUUUUAUAACUGUAAAUAUCAUGUAUAUAAUGUUAAUCUAGUUUAGAAUUAAAGGAACAUAUAUCCUUUAUAUAAUGAGUAUGUUAGUUUAUUUUAUUGAGUAUUAUGAUUUACAUUAAUUAAUAACAUAGUGUGAAUGUUGUUGAUUGAUGGUGUUUGAUUAUGUGAUGUGUGAUUAUUACAUAUUAAUAAUAAUUACAACCUAAUAGUGUUUUAUUUAAGUUCUACCUCUGUAGACGGACAGGGUGGGGAUUCUUCGUUUAAAAACCCUUCCGCUGCACUGUUCUGUUA
Molecule: long non-coding RNA, 1052 nt
Filed under: Lytechinus variegatus (green sea urchin)
Lineage: Eukaryota; Metazoa; Echinodermata; Echinoidea; Temnopleuroida; Toxopneustidae
Description: uncharacterized LOC121418621
Source: RNAcentral